GAUGAACGCUGGCGGCGUGCUUAAUACAUGCAAGUCGAGCGGAAGGACGAGGAGCUUGCUUUUCUGACGUUAGCGGCGGACGGGUGAGUAACACGUGUAUAACCUACCUGUAUUACGGGGAUCACUUCGAGAAACCGGAGCUUAUACCGGAGAAUAUUCUGAUCCGCAGGGUUCAAAGGUGAGAUACGGUGUUGCUGGCACUUCUAGAGGCAUCUGCGCUGGAUUGGCUGGUUGGUAAGGUAACGGCCUACGAAGGCAACGAGGCAUAGCCGACCUCAUAGGGUGGUCGGCCACACUGGAACUUGGCCGCGGUCCAUGCGCCUGCGGGAGGGAGCAGUAUGGAAUCGUCCGCAGUGGGCGGGAGCAUGACGGAGCGACGCCGCGUGUGUGACGGAGGUCUUCGGAUCGUAAUGCUCUGUUAUGAGGGAUAAACAGAUGUGGAAGUAGCCGUGCACUGCGUGACGGUACCGAAUCAAAAAGCCACGGCUAACUACGUG
This 497-nucleotide ribosomal RNA is filed under the name uncultured bacterium. RNAcentral's name for it is "partial 16S ribosomal RNA". It matches the Rfam family "Bacterial small subunit ribosomal RNA", at positions 28 to 507 of the family's 1533-position model. The record is from RNAcentral.